UACGUAGGGUGCAAGCGUUAAUCGGAAUUACUGGGCGUAAAGCGUGCGCAGGCGGUUUUGUAAGUUUGUCGUGAAAUCCCCGGGCUCAACCUGGGAAUGGCGAUGAAGACUGCAAGGCUAGAAUCUGGCAGAGGGGGGUGGAAUUCCCGGUGUAGCAGUGAAAUGCGUAGAGAUCGGGAGGAACAUCAGUUGCGAAGGCGGCUCUCUGGACCAGCACUGACACUGAGGCACGAAAGCGUGGGGAGCAAACAGG
Molecule: ribosomal RNA, 253 nt
Filed under: uncultured bacterium
Lineage: Bacteria
Description: partial 16S ribosomal RNA
Rfam family: Bacterial small subunit ribosomal RNA
Source: RNAcentral